RNAcentral lists this ribosomal RNA (534 nucleotides) under uncultured bacterium. RNAcentral describes it as "bacterial SSU rRNA". It matches the Rfam family "Bacterial small subunit ribosomal RNA", at positions 791 to 1318 of the family's 1533-position model. The record is from RNAcentral.
UAGUCCACGCCGUAAACGAUGAGCACUAGUUGUGGGGAGUAUUAAUCCUUCCUGCGACGUAGCAAACGCAUUAAGUGCUCCGCCUGGGGAGUACGGUCGCAAGACUAAAACUCAAAGGAAUUGACGGGGGCCCGCACAAGCGGUGGAUUAUGUGGUUUAAUUCGAAGAAACGCGCAAAACCUUACCUAGGUUUGAAAUCCCGAGAAUCCGGCCCAAAAGCUGGAGUGCCCUUCGGGGAAUUCGGUGACAGGCGCUGCAUGGCCGUCGUCAGCUCGUGUUGUGAAAUGUUGGGUUAAGUCUCGCAACGAGCGCAACCCCUGUUCUUAUUUGCCAGCAUUAAGUUGGGCACUCUAAGGAGACUGCCAGGGUUAACCUGGAGGAAGGUGGGGAUGACGUCAGGUCCUCAUGGCCCUUAUACCUAGGGGCUACACACGUAAUACAAUGGACAGUACAAAGGGGAUGCAAGCUCGUGAGAGUUAGCAAACCUCAAAAAAGCUAGUUCUCAGUCCGGGAUUGAAGUCUGCAACUCGACUU